This 504-nucleotide ribosomal RNA is filed under the name uncultured bacterium. Its description in RNAcentral is "partial 16S ribosomal RNA". It matches the Rfam family "Bacterial small subunit ribosomal RNA", at positions 28 to 523 of the family's 1533-position model. The record is from RNAcentral.
GAUGAACGCUAGCGACAGGCUUAACACAUGCAAGUCGAGGGGCAGCACGGGAGUAGCAAUACAACUGGUGGCGACCGGCGCACGGGUGAGUAACGCGUAUGCAACCUACCUAUCAGAGGGGAAUAACCCGGCGAAAGUCGGACUAAUACCGCAUAAAACAGGGGCACCGCAUGGUGAUAUUUGUUAAAGAAAUGCGCUGAUAGAUGGGCAUGCGUUCCAUUAGGUAGUUGGUGAGGUAACGGCUCACCAAGCGGACGCUGGAUAGGGGAACUGAGAGGUUGGGCCCCAACACUGGGACGGGGACGCGGACCCGACUGCUACGGGAGGCAGCAGUGAAGAAUAUUGGUCAAUGGGCGGGAGCUUGAACCAGCCAAGUCGCGUGAAGGAAGAAGGAUCUAUGGUUCGUAAACUUCUUUUGCAGGGGAAUAAAGUGCAGGACGUGUCCUGUUUUGUAUGUACCCUGAGAAUAAGGAUCGGCUAACUCCGUGCCAGCAGCCGCAGUAA